UAGGGAAUCUUCCACAAUGGACGAAAGUCUGAUGGAGCAACGCCGCGUGAGUGAAGAAGGUCUUCGGAUCGUAAAGCUCUGUUGUUGGUGAAGAAGGAUAGAGGCAGUAACUGGUCUUUAUUUGACGGUAAUCAACCAGAAAGUCACGGCUAACUACGCGCCAG
RNAcentral lists this ribosomal RNA (164 nucleotides) under uncultured bacterium. RNAcentral describes it as "partial 16S rRNA". It matches the Rfam family "Bacterial small subunit ribosomal RNA", at positions 355 to 511 of the family's 1533-position model. The record is from RNAcentral.